GGAGAAGCAGAAACGUAACCAAGCAAGGUGCAGAGCUAUUUUCAGCCUUGGGGUUUUCACCCCAGGGUCCCCAAAGUGCUUGGGGCAGAGUACAGCUCCCCUUUGAGAAAGUCGGUGCUCUGGACUGAUGAAAAGGACAAAAGAGAAGCCAGUACAGUUUUGAGAAGUCAAAGUGUGGGCAGAACGGUUCCUUUCUGGAGGCUUUAGGGGAGAAUCUGUUUCCUCGCUUCUCCAGCCUUUAGAGGCCACCUGCAGUCCCUGGCUCACGGCCAUCUUCAAAGCCAGCGGUCGCAUCGCCCUGACCUCCGCCUCCAUCAACCAUCUCCUUGCUGACCCUGACCCUCCUGCCUCCCUCUCACAACGACUCCUGCGAUGACGUGGGGCUGUGAAAGGAAAAAUCUCUUGGGUCCCUUCAAGCUGGGAACUGCUCAGGGCAAAACUCCCUCCCAUUCUAUUCAAACUCAUCCCUCUGCUCACUGAGAUAGAUGCAUAUUCUGAUUGCCUCGCUUACCAGAAACUCAAAAGAAUGCAACCGGUUGUCUCUAAACUCAAAAGAAUGCAACCAGUUGUCUCACCUACCUGUGACCUGGAAACCCCUUUCCUGCUUGGAGCUGUCCCCGUCUUUCUGGAUGGAACCAGUGUACUUCUUACAUGUAUUGAUUGAUGUCUCAUGUCUCCCUAAAAUGUAUAAAACCAGGCUGUGCCCCGACCACCUUGGGCACAUGUCGUCAGGACUUCCCGAGGUCGUGUCACGGAUGCGCAUCCUUAACUUUGUCGAAUAAACCUCAUAAAGUGACGGACACGUGUCAUUUUUCUCGAUUGACAGGGCCAACCCGGAUAAUCCAGGCUGCUCUCCCCAACUCAAAGUCACAUCUGUAAUGUCCUUCGUGCCAUGAAAGGUCACAUAGUCACAGGUUGUUUCCUUGAACUCUCUAAGAGUCUCUGUAAUAGGAUGACCCUUCUACAAAACCCACUAUCAGUUACAGUG
This 988-nucleotide long non-coding RNA is filed under the name Homo sapiens (human). RNAcentral describes it as "HSALNT0234702". Lineage: Eukaryota; Metazoa; Chordata; Mammalia; Primates; Hominidae. The record is from RNAcentral.